CAGAGCAAAAACUUCAUCUCAAAAAAAAAAAAAAAAAAAAGAUGUAGGAAGCAAGUGAGGUAUGGCUUUGCAGAAUAAGGAUUUUAAAUGGAUUGGUGGUAUAAGCGGGCAAAAAAUAUUCCUGUGAUGGUUAAUUUUAUUUUUCAACUUGACUAAACCACAGGUACCCAUACAUUUGGUCAAACAUUAUUCUAGGUGUGUCUGUGAGGGUGUUUCUGGAUGAGAUUAACAUUUGAAUCUGAAGAAUAAAACAGGUUCCUCCUUAAUGCGAGUGAGUUUCAUCUAAUCUAUUGAUAACCUGUAUAGAACAAAAAACUGAGCAAGAGAUAACGUUGCCUGCCUGCCUGCCUACUUGAGACAUUAGUCUUCUGCCUUCAGAUUGGAAUUUAUAUUAAUACCAUCUACUCCUUGGUUCUCAGUCCUUCUGACAUGAACUGGAACAACACCAUCAGCUCUCCCGGAUCUCCAGCUUGCAGACAGCAGAUCAUGGGACUUUUCAGCUUCUGUAAUUGUGAGGUGGUUGAGAACCAUUGACGUAGACUGACUUAGCAGAUCUUCAAAUGUGAAUAGGGAAUCCUGCCAUUCCACUGAUGAGAACAGCAUGCUUAGGAUAUUGCUUCUGAGAAGAGAGGCAUCCUGUUGUAUGUAGUGGCCACAUAACAGACUGCAAAGAACUGGAACGCAGAGUAAUUUUAAUCCAAAAUGUUCAAAGGUAAGUGGCUAAAAAUAGUCCAUUCUUCUUCCAUGCUAAAACUUUAACAACUAUGAGAGAGGAAAAGCUUGACAGAUUCUCUGUAGAAUUUGUCAACUACUUUUGCCAGAGGUCAAAACUGAUCAUAAAUACUGUGCCUUAGUAGCCUAACAUGGCUUCUGAACUGUGAAUAGAAGCUGGGAUUUUGUAGCAAAUGGUGUUCCUCAGAACUCGAGGUUUCCAAGGUGACUGCAUAUGAAACUACAAACAUCACAAUAGCAGUUUCCAGAGGGACUCUCUUUAUGGUCCUCCCCAUACCCUCCAUCCCCAAACUAUUACAUUCUUUACACUGUGAUUCUUUCUAAAGUGAGAUAGAAACUAAAUAAUUGAUUUGAAUAUCAAAGAAAAGAUGUACAUUUCCAUCUUCUCAAUUUUCAUUAGAGUACUGAUUUUUCAAGUCUUCCCAAUAAGACCUAAUGCUCUCAGAACAUCUAAUGACCCAUGCAACUAACUUGACUCCAUGUGUAACAGACAGCUAGGCUGUUGAUUAUUUUAAUUAGCAAUUAAAAGUAAUACAUUCACAAAUGUUAUUUGGAUUUUUCAUUUAAAUGAAAUCUCUAGCUUUGAUCAGGAUUGAAAAUCGGUUCAGCCUAUGGGGCAGUGCAUCAUAGAAGGAGCUCUGGAUUAGGAGGAGAUGCCUGUCAUUGAGUUAGCCACUAACUCGCGAUGGGGACCCAUUCUCCUGUAUACAAUGAGAGGGUUGGACUAGCAAUUGAAAGGGUCCAUCUCUCAGCCCUGAAACACACUUCAUGUUUCUUAGCAGCAAAUAGAUUCUGGAAGAUUAAUAGUCAAUGUAAGUAUACUGCCUGCCAUAUGAUUAUAAUGUAAGAGAUCUCCUGCACUGAGUCAAGUGGUCACCCUGUGCUCUCUUCAUCCCCCAUGCUAGCCUUCAGUAGACAUCCUCAAGAGUAUUCUGUGUCCACUUACUGAUAUAUUGUACAGGAAUCCCUCUCUGUGGGGAGCAAAGUAGGUGAUCCACAUAGCUCUAGGAAGGCUGAAAACAAUAUUAGUGUCUUAUAUGUAAAUAACUAUACCUCACUCAAGCUUAAUUUUUUAAAAGCCACUUACUAAAAUUUAUACCUAAAAAUUAUUGCAUACUUACUAUACAGUAGGCAAUGUGCUAAAUAAAACAUUGUAGGAAGAAGUCACAUUAAUAUUAUUAUCCCCACCUUACAGUUAGUUGGGGGAAGUUAAGCCUAAGGUAACUCAGCUAGCAGCAGAGUAGAUGUUCCCACUGCAACUCUAUCACUAGAACCCAUGCUUUUAAAUGUUACCUGAAAACUGCCACUAUUUACUGGAAUGAACAAAUGCUACAGUAAUAGACUGAGUUUUAGGGCUCUGGGAAAAAGUACAUUGUAAUCAGCUAAAAUUGAGGAAGUACUUAAUUUGUGUCAAGAGACUCUGGGUGAUGUGAAUGUAUACAUUUAAAAUAAUAUAUAUCAUUUUAAAUGGUUAUCUAUUGGAUACAAAUUGAAAAACUUCUAUCUUUGGUCCAGCCAUUAAAUAAAUAUUUUGGUUAGUAACUAGCUUACCUACUUUGCAAUUUUAUAUUACCCAUUUCAGGAUCCUCUGUUAGUGAAAAUGGUAACAUGAGAAGCCUGAAAUGGUAUUUAAAAGCGAUAUGGAGGUCGUUCUGGUGUUGGUCUCAGUAGGGUUAGCUGGGGGAUUAUGUGAAAGCUGAGGGCUGAACAAGUCAGAAGGCAUAUUUGGAAAGUGAUUAAAGUGAUUACAUUCAAUAAUAAUAAUCACUAUGUAGUGAACACCAACGAUGCUUUCAGACUUUCAUAUGGUCCCGCGAGUUCUCAAUACAUCCUAUGCAGUAUGUGGUAGAAUCCCUAUUGAACAGAUGAGGCUCAGUAAGGUGGAAUGACUUGCCCAAGUCCACCCUGUCAUUCACUUGGAGAUGGGGCUCAGGUAACCAGGACUAUCUGGCUUCAAAGUAGCCUUCUUAAAACUUUCCAUUGAAUUGCCAGCUCUCAUAGAGGAUUAGUGCAUUCCUCUGGGGGUCUGGGACACAGACACACAGACUCACUAAAAGGUAAGUGUUUUUUAUGGAAAUCUCUUCUGUUCAGCUUCAAAAGUUAUACAAAUUUGGUGUUGUACCAUAUACAAUAUCCCUAUUUAAUGAAAAAUAAUAGUUUAUCAUUUGUGAGUUAUUUGAUUUGUAUCCAAAUCUUUGGGUAAAAUAUUCUCCAGGAAGAUGUGUCAAGUUUAUCCUAUGGCUUUCUGUGCUCUAAUUCAGGAUGAACAAAACUGCAAUAAAGCAGAGUAAGUAAACACAAAGAGUGGCCAAGAUGGCCAACUAAAAGCAGAUAGGAUGCGUGGCUCUCACAGAGAGGAAAGGAAGGAAGGGGCAAGUAAAUACAGCACUGCCAACUGACACAUCCAGACAGUCAACACUGGGACUAAUCAAGGAAACAACUCGACCCACAGAGAAUGGAGAAGAGCAAGGCAGGACGACGGCCCAUCUGGGAGCAGAAUGUGGAGCCAAGGGAACCUCCCUUGCCAAGGACCAAGACAAGUGGCAAGCCAUAUGAUGACUGACCAGAAACAUUAGAAAGAAUGGAAGAUGGUUUCCUGAAGCUUCGCUACU
Molecule: long non-coding RNA, 3344 nt
Filed under: Homo sapiens (human)
Lineage: Eukaryota; Metazoa; Chordata; Mammalia; Primates; Hominidae
Description: HSALNT0330396
Source: RNAcentral